RNAcentral lists this ribosomal RNA (253 nucleotides) under uncultured bacterium. Its description in RNAcentral is "partial 16S ribosomal RNA". It matches the Rfam family "Bacterial small subunit ribosomal RNA", at positions 524 to 776 of the family's 1533-position model. The record is from RNAcentral.
UACGGGGGGGGCAAGCGUUGUUCGGAAUUACUGGGCGUAAAGGGCUCGUAGGGGGCCAACUAAGUCAGACGUGAAAUCCCUCAGCUUAACUGGGGAACUGCGUCUGAUACUGGAUGGCUUGAGUUUGGGAGAGGGAUGCGGAAUUCCAGGUGUAGCGGUGAAAUGCGUAGAUAUCUGGAGGAACACCGGUGGCGAAGGCGGCAUCCUGGACCAAUACUGACACUGAGGAGCGAAAGCCAGGGGAGCAAACGGG